UACGAAGGGGGCUAGCGUUGUUCGGAAUCACUGGGCGUAAAGGGCGCGUAGGCGGCCGUUCAAGUCGGGGGUGAAAGCCUGUGGCUCAACCACAGAAUGGCCUUCGAUACUGGACGGCUCGAGACCGGAAGAGGUCAGUGGAACUGCGAGUGUAGAGGUGAAAUGCGUAGAGAUCCCCAAGAACACCAGUUGCGAAGGCGGCCGACUGGACACAUAUUGACGCUGAGGCUCGAAAGCAUGGGGAGCAAACAGG
RNAcentral lists this ribosomal RNA (253 nucleotides) under uncultured bacterium. RNAcentral's name for it is "partial 16S ribosomal RNA". It matches the Rfam family "Bacterial small subunit ribosomal RNA", at positions 524 to 776 of the family's 1533-position model. The record is from RNAcentral.